RNAcentral lists this ribosomal RNA (346 nucleotides) under uncultured bacterium. Its description in RNAcentral is "bacterial SSU rRNA". It matches the Rfam family "Bacterial small subunit ribosomal RNA", at positions 1 to 334 of the family's 1533-position model. The record is from RNAcentral.
ACACGUGAUUCAGAGUUUGAUCCUGGCUCAGGAUAAACGCUGGCGGCGUGCAUAACACAUUCAAGUCGAACGAACUGAUACGAAAGCUUGCUUUUGUUGAAAGUUAGUGGCGGACGGGUGAGUAACGCGUGAGCAACCUGCCUAUCUGUGGGGGAAUAACACAUGGAAACGUGUGCUAAUACCGCAUAACACAACCUGAUCGCAUGUUUAGGUUGUCAAAGAUUUAUCGCAGAUAGAUGGGCUCGCGUCUGAUUAGCUAGUUGGUGAGGUAACGGCUCACCAAGGCGACGAUCAGUAGCCGGACUGAGAGGUUGAACGGCCACAUUGGAACUGAGAUACGGUCCAG